UAGCUAGUGUAGUAACGUCACAGCAGUGCAUGGCACUGAGUGAUCGUCAAUGGACUGAGACGGCCACUCUACGAGCGCAGUAGAUCUCGGCAUGACGAGUCUGACCGAGCACGCGCUGAGGAGAGGUUCCGAAUCGUAAACUCGUGUAGAGAGACAGAUGAGAGUAACUGUCAUCCCUGACGUAUCUACAGAAAGCACGGCUACUACGUGCCAGCAGCGCGGUAAUACGUAGGUGGCAGCGUGUCUGGAUUAUGGCGUAAAGCGAGCGCAGGCGCUUCUAAGUCUGAUGUGAAGCCCCGCUCACCGGGGAGGGUCAUUGGAACUGGGAGACUUGAGUGCAGGAAGAGGAGAGUGGAAUUCCAUGUGUAGCGGUGAAAUGCGUAGAUAUAUGGAGGAACACCAGUGGCGAAGGCGGCUCUCUGGUCUGUAACUGACGCUGAGGCUCGAAAGCGUGGGGAGCAAACAGGAUUAGAUACCCUGGUAGUCCACGCCGUAAACGAUGAGUGUUAAGUGUUGGAGGGUUUCCGCCCUUCAGUGCUGCAGCUAACGCAUUAAGCAUUCCGCCUGGGGAGUACGACCGCAAGGUUGAAAUUCAAAGGAAUUGACGGGGGCCCGCACAAGCGGUGGAGCAUGUGGUUUAAUUGGAAGCAACGGGAAGACCCUUACCAGGUCUUGACAUCCUUUGACCACUCUAGAGAUAGAGCUUCCCCUUCGGGGGCAAAGUGACAGGUGGUGCAUGGUUGUGGUCAGCUCGUGUCGUGAGAUGUUGGGUUAAGUCCCGCAACGAGCGCAACCCUUAUUGUUAGUUGCCAUCAUUCAGUUGGCCAUUCUAGCAAGACUGCCGGUGACAAACCGGAGGAAGGUGGGGAGGACGUCAAAUCAUCAUGCCCCUUAUGCCUUGGGUUACACACGUGUUCCAAUGGGAAGUACAACGAGUUGGGAAGUCGGGAGGUUAAGCUAAUUUCUUAAAGCUUUUUUCAGUUCGGAUUCCAGGUUGCAAUUCGCUUCCAGGAACCCGGAAUCGUUAGUAAUCGGGGAUCACCACGCCGCGGGGAAUACGUUCCCGGCCCUUGUCCACACCGCCCGUCACACCACGAGAGUUUGUACCACCGGAAGUCGGUGAGGUACCCUUUGGAGCCAGCCGCC
Molecule: ribosomal RNA, 1146 nt
Filed under: Enterococcus durans
Lineage: Bacteria; Bacillati; Bacillota; Bacilli; Lactobacillales; Enterococcaceae
Description: bacterial SSU rRNA
Rfam family: Bacterial small subunit ribosomal RNA
Source: RNAcentral